RNAcentral lists this non-coding RNA (96 nucleotides) under Flavihumibacter petaseus. Its description in RNAcentral is "TPP sequence". It matches the Rfam family "TPP riboswitch aptamer (THI element)". From Rfam's summary of the family: Vitamin B(1) in its active form thiamin pyrophosphate (TPP) is an essential coenzyme that is synthesised by coupling of pyrimidine and thiazole moieties in bacteria. RNAcentral also lists the same sequence under 1 other name. The record is from RNAcentral. Lineage: Bacteria; Pseudomonadati; Bacteroidota; Chitinophagia; Chitinophagales; Chitinophagaceae.
UUUCCUCAAUUGGGGUGGUUUCUUCGGAAAUCUGAGAACAUACCCAAAUCACCUGAUCUGGAUAAUGCCAGCGUAGGAAAAGGAAACUUCGAGGGC